GAAUGAUGGCAUCUGCUAUUGGAUCCGUAAUGGGCUGUUUAUUCUUGAUGCUUUCAAUUGUCAAUGUCAUUCAGAUUCGACUCGGGGUCUUAUCUUGUGGAAGUAAAUCUGCUAUUCAUGCUGUCUCCACCUUGCUCGUUUUGGUCACGUCUGCCCUUGUUGUUUAUAUUUCUACCGCUAUAUAUGCAUUUCUGCACUAAAGUCAAUUUUUGGAUUUUGUUCAAUCUAUAAAAACUAUGUCAUGCUUUGAAUAUAGAGAUCAUUUAGGUCAUUACUGUUUGAAUUCAAAAUCAAUUCCAUUAUGCCACCUAGUCCAUUUCCUUCAUACUCAACCAUAUGUAUCAUUGUGACCAUAGUUUCAUCUGUCACCAGCUAUGUGUAGGAUAAAUCUUACUUUUCAGCUGAGUCAUUUCUACAACCCCUCAUUUGUAAAGCAUUUUUCUAUCUCUAAGCAAAUGUAUAAAUGGGCAUUUGCACAACACUUUUUAAUGUUUAAUAUAUGCUAUUUAUGCUCG
This 515-nucleotide unclassified non-coding RNA is filed under the name Hevea brasiliensis (rubber tree). Lineage: Eukaryota; Viridiplantae; Streptophyta; Magnoliopsida; Malpighiales; Euphorbiaceae. The record is from RNAcentral.